Molecule: non-coding RNA, 2291 nt
Organism: Taeniopygia guttata (zebra finch)
Lineage: Eukaryota; Metazoa; Chordata; Aves; Passeriformes; Estrildidae
Source: the annotation of a RefSeq genome assembly
UGCCGACAGCGAUGGCGCCCACCACCCCCGACCGCGCCGCCGGCGCCAUCUUGGCCCUCCUGACCCUAUUGGCCGUUCCCGGGAUCCGGGCGGCCGUGACCCUGACGGAGUCCGGGGGUGACCUCCAGCCCCCCGGGGGGUCCCUGCGCCUCCUGUGCCGGAUCGGCGGCGCCGGCGCGGCCGUUUGGGCGCGGCAGCGCGGCGGCGGCGGGUUGGAGGCGAUCGGCGGCGCCGGCGGCACCGGAGGCGGGAAGUUCGCGGUUAAAGAUGGCGGCGGAGGGGGUUGGGCGGUGUUGGAAGGGGAAGGGUUGGAGGAAGGAGAUUCCGGAGUUUAUUUCUGCGGCGCUCACGGCGGUGGAGGGGAGGGGAGGGGUGGGGGGAAAGGGUCGGUGGGGGUGGUCCCCCAUUUUCCCGCCAUUUCCCCCCUUUUCCCGCCUUUCCCUGUAUUCUCGCGGGAUUUUGCGCGGGCUCUCGCCGGGCCCCGCCCACCGUGGGUCGCUAUUGACGCCUGGGGCAGCGGCACCGUCGUCACCGUCAGCCGAGCCACCGCCCGCGCCCCGGAGCUGUUCCCGCUGUCGCCGUGCGGCGCCGACUCGGCGCGUUUCUCCGUCGGCUGCGUCGCCGUCGGAUUUUUCCCGGCGCCGUUGGAGCUGAGCUGGAGCGACGUCGGGAACCGAAGCGCCGCCGGCGCCGCGUUCCCGCCGGUGCCGCGUUCCGGAACUUUCCUGAGGGCGUCGCGCCUCGGGAUGGAGCCGGAGGAGGGGAAAUCCCGACAGCCGUUCCGGUGUUGGGCCCGGCACGGCCGCGGCGGCCGCAGCGUUGAGGUUUCCAACCCAGGUGGGGAUUGGGGAGAAUUGGGGGGAAAAUGGCCCAAAUAUGGCAAAAAACGGCCCAAAAAUGACCCAAAUGUGGCACAAACGGCUCCCGGCGCCGCGUUCCCGGCGGUGCCGCGUUCCGGAACUUUCCUGAGGGCGUCGCGCCUCGGGAUGGAGCCGGAGGAGGGGAAAUCCCGACAGCCGUUCCGGUGUUGGGCCCGGCACGGCCGCGGCGGCCGCAGCGUUGAGGUUUCCAACCCAGGUCCCGGCACAUCCGGCCCCGCGCCGCCACCGGAGCUGUCUCUCCGUCCGCCGUCCCGCGAAGACUUCCAAGGCCCCUACCGCAACUCCACCCUCCUGUGCCAAAUCCGCGGCCGCCGGCGCGGCCUCGGCGCCGCCCCCAUCCGCUGGUACCGCAACGGGGCCCCGGUGAGCGACGGCGUCACCGCCGAACCGCCGGCGGCCGAAAGCUCCGGCGGCGUUUUCGUGGCCGGGAGCCGCGUGGUGGUGACCGAGGCCGAGUGGGAGAGCGGCGUCGUCUUCACGUGCCGGGCCGGCGAUGAGAUGAGGAACACCAGCAAGGCCAUGGAGUGCGGAUGUGACCAAUCAUUGUCCGCCGGCGACAUCCGCGUGGAGACGGUGCCGCCUCAAUUCGCCGACAUCUUCCGGGACCGCUCGGCGCGGCUGACGUGCCGCGUCACCAACGUGCCGGCGGCCGCCGACGGGCUGGAGGUGACGUGGCUGAAGGAGGACGGCCAAGUUUUGGCCACCAAAACGUCGUCGCCGGCGCCGCAGCCCGACGGGCUCCUGGCGGCCGAGGGCGUGGCCGAGGUGGGCGCCGAGCUCUGGGAGUCCGGUCAGACGUUCACGUGCCGCGUGGCGCACCCGGAGCUGCUGUUCCCCAAGGAGGUCACCAUGAGGAAGACUUUGGUGCCAUCACCAUCCCCCCCCUCCAUCCACCUCCUCCCACCACCACCGGAACAACUCCGCGACCGCACCUGGGCCACCCUCACCUGCCUCGUCCGCGACUUCAACCCGCCCGAAAUCCUCCUCCAAUGGCUCCACGACGGCCGGCCCCUCCCCCCGGGCCACGCCCUCACCUGGCGGCCCCGCCCCGAGCCCGGCCCCACCCCCCGAGGCCACGCCCCCGCCUACCUGAGCGUCAGCACCUUGACGGUGCCGGCGCGGGACUGGGAAUCCGGCGGCGUCUUCACCUGCCUGGUGGGGCACGAGCGGCUGCCGCUGCGGCUGGCGCAGAAAUCGCUGGACAAGGCGGCCGGUAAACCCACCAACGUCAACGUUUCGUUGGUUUUUAGCGACUCUGCCAGUGCCUGUUACUGAAAAUCACGUUUUUUACCCCGAAAAAUAAAGGUUUUGCAAAAAAAAUGGCGCCUUUGGGCCAAAAAAUGGCGUUUUUAGCUCAAAAAUUGGGGUUUUUGUCAUGGUUUUGACCAAAAAAUGGAGAUUUCCCAAGAA